AUGGGAUUUGAUAGUGACACACUCACAACAACAUUUGGAGCAGUUAUCUGGGAUCAUAGGGGAAAAUUUAUAGCGGCUGCUAAUGAAAAGAUAGGCCUUUGCUUUGACUCGUUCACAGCAGAAGCAAUUGCAGUGAGGUUUGGUUUGAAUAUUGCUAAUACCGUCGGAUGCAGUAAGAUUGAAGUGAAUUCGGAUAGCAUGGAGGUGGGGAAUGCGUUGAGCCAAGGGUGUUCUCCUUCAGUCGCUUCAUCAAUUAUAGAUUGUUGUUAUUUCAUGUCAUUAGAUUUUUCCCAUGCCACUUAUGAUCAUUGUAAUAGAGAGCGUAAUCGAGUAGCUCAUGAACUGGCAAAGUUAUCUAGGUUUUCUCCUCCGAGUGUUUGUAUGGAUAAUGCUCCUGAUGAGGUUAUCCCUUUACUUGUAAACGAUGCACUAGUAGAAAACAGGGCUUUCGUUCGGGCCUGGCCAGCCCAUUAG
Molecule: ribosomal RNA, 474 nt
Filed under: Triticum aestivum (bread wheat)
Lineage: Eukaryota; Viridiplantae; Streptophyta; Magnoliopsida; Poales; Poaceae
Description: partial small subunit ribosomal RNA
Source: RNAcentral